Molecule: ribosomal RNA, 229 nt
Filed under: uncultured bacterium
Lineage: Bacteria
Description: partial 16S ribosomal RNA
Rfam family: Bacterial small subunit ribosomal RNA
Source: RNAcentral
CACGUAGGCGGCUUUGUAAGUUUCUGGUGAAAUACUUCUGCUCAACGGAAGAACUGCCAGAAAAACUACAAGGAUUGAGUUCAGGAGAGGGAAGUGGAAUUCCUGGUGUAGCGGUGAAAUGCGUAGAUAUCAGGAAGAACACCGGUGGCGAAGGCGGCUUCCUAGCCUAGAACUGACGCUCAUGUGCGAAAGCGUGGGGAGCAAACAGGAUUAGAUACCCUGGUAGUCC